CAUGCAAGUCGAGGGGCAGCGAGGGAGUGGCAACACUUCUGUCGGCGACCGGCGCACGGGUGAGUAACGCGUAUGCAACCUGCCCUUCACAGGGGGAUAACCGGGAGAAAUUCCGACUAAUACCGCAUACGUCCUCCGGGGGCAUCCCCGGGGGAUGAAAGAAUUAUCGGUGAAGGAUGGGCAUGCGUGAUAUUAGGUAGUUGGCGGGGCAACGGCCCACCAAGCCCACGAUAUCUAGGGGUUCUGAGAGGAAGGUCCCCCACAUUGGUACUGAGACACGGACCAAACUCCUACGGGAGGCAGCAGUGAGGAAUAUUGGUCAAUGGACGAGAGUCUGAACCAGCCAAGUCGCGUGAAGGAAGACGGAUCUAUGGUUUGUAAACUUCUUUAGUGCGGGAACAAAGCGGCGUCGUGACGCCUGAUGAGUGUACCGCAAGAAUAAGCAUCAGCUAACUCCGUGCCAGCAGCCGCGGUAAUACGGAGGAUGCGAGCGUUAUCCGGAUUUAUUGGGUUUAAAGGGAGCGCAGGCUGCGAGGCAAGUCAGCGGUCAAAUGUCGGGGCUCAACCCCGGCCUGCCGUUGAAACUGUCCUGCUAGAGUUCGAGUGAGGUAUGCGGAAUGCGUUGUGUAGCGGUGAAAUGCAUAGAUAUGACGCAGAACUCCGAUUGCGAAGGCAGCAUACCAACUCGCGACUGACGCUGAGGCUCGAAAGCGUGGGUAUCGAACAGGAUUAGAUACCCUGGUAGUCCACGCAGUAAACGAUGAAUACUAACUGUUCGGAGGGCGACCUCUGAGUGGUAAAGCGAAAGCGUUAAGUAUUCCACCUGGGGAGUACGCCGGCAACGGUGAAACUCAAAGGAAUUGACGGGGGCCCGCACA
This 878-nucleotide ribosomal RNA is filed under the name uncultured bacterium. RNAcentral describes it as "bacterial SSU rRNA". It matches the Rfam family "Bacterial small subunit ribosomal RNA", at positions 54 to 927 of the family's 1533-position model. The record is from RNAcentral.